GAUCAGGUCUGUGGCCUUAUUCCUCCUGUAUUACUGAAAAUAUUUUUGACCAUUCAUACUCGGGAAUAAUACUCGAUUACUCGUUAAAUUUUUAAUUGGAUUCUCAAAUUUCUGUUGUAUAGUUGCAGGUUAACGUGGCUGUAUUUACUCAGUGUGUUCAUGCAAAUAUACAAAUAGAGUUAGAUAAACUUUUGUGCUUGUGUUUUCUUAAACUUGAUAACUCCAUGUUCAAGUUUUGCAUUGCUCAAUCAAAGAUGUUGCUUUCAAAAGCAUGUUUUGGUAUUUAAGAAACUUUACACUCCUAUGAGGUUGCUUGAAGUCUUUGUGCUUCAUUCGGUUUUUCCAAACUUAACUAGGCUGAAACCAUACUUUUAGGAGAUCAAAAUUAUUUAAUAAACAAAGGAGGUCAUCAUUCUACAUUGUAUCCCAUUAUGGGGUUUUGCCUGAGAAGGCCUAUUUGGAUUUUGCUCGGCCAAUAGACUUCGCUCUGA
This 491-nucleotide unclassified non-coding RNA is filed under the name Hevea brasiliensis (rubber tree). Lineage: Eukaryota; Viridiplantae; Streptophyta; Magnoliopsida; Malpighiales; Euphorbiaceae. The record is from RNAcentral.